GACGAACGCUGGCGGCGUGCCUAAUACAUGCAAGUAGAACGCUGAAGGAGGAGCUUGCUUCUCUGGAUGAGUUGCGAACGGGUGAGUAACGCGUAGGUAACCUGCCUGGUAGCGGGGGAUAACUAUUGGAAACGAUAGCUAAUACCGCAUAAUAGCAGUUGUUGCAUGACAACUGUUUGAAAGGUGCAAUUGCACCACUACCAGAUGGACCUGCGUUGUAUUAGCUAGUUGGUGGGGUAACGGCUCACCAAGGCGACGAUACAUAGCCGACCUGAGAGGGUGAUCGGCCACACUGGGACUGGGACACGGCCCAGACUCCUACGGGAGGCAGCAGUAGGGAAUCUUCGGCAAUGGACGGAAGUCUGACCGAGCAACGCCGCGUGAGUGAAGAAGGUUUUCGGAUCGUAAAGCUCUGUUGUAAGAGAAGAACGAGUGUGAGAGUGGAAAGUUCACACUGUGACGGUAUCCUACCAGAAAGGGACGGCUAACUACGUG
RNAcentral lists this ribosomal RNA (495 nucleotides) under uncultured bacterium. Its description in RNAcentral is "partial 16S ribosomal RNA". It matches the Rfam family "Bacterial small subunit ribosomal RNA", at positions 28 to 507 of the family's 1533-position model. The record is from RNAcentral.